RNAcentral lists this non-coding RNA (29 nucleotides) under Bombyx mori (domestic silkworm). The record is from RNAcentral. Lineage: Eukaryota; Metazoa; Arthropoda; Insecta; Lepidoptera; Bombycidae.
UGCCAUUUAUAUAGGAUUUAGGUCCGGAU